This 301-nucleotide ribosomal RNA is filed under the name uncultured bacterium. RNAcentral's name for it is "partial 16S ribosomal RNA". It matches the Rfam family "Bacterial small subunit ribosomal RNA", at positions 509 to 807 of the family's 1533-position model. The record is from RNAcentral.
CAGCAGCCACGGUAAUGCGUAGGUGGCAAGCGUUGUCCGGAAUUAUUGGGCGUAAAGGGCUCGCAGGCGGUUUCUUAAGUCUGAUGUGAAAGCCCCCGGCUCAACCGGGGAGGGUCAUUGGAAACUGGGAAACUUGAGUGCAGAAGAGGAGAGUGGAAUUCCACGUGUAGCGGUGAAAUGCGUAGAGAUGUGGAGGAACACCAGUGGCGAAGGCGACUCUCUGGUCUGUAACUGACGCUGAGGAGUGAAAGCGUGGGGAGCAAAUGGGAUUAGAUACCCCGGUAGUCCCUGUCUCUUAUAC